CUACGGGCCGCAGCAGUGGGGAAUAUUGCACAAUGGACGAAAGUCUGAUGCAGCAACGCCGCGUGGAGGAUGACACCUUUCGGAGCGUAAACUCCUUUUAUAUAGGAAGAUAAUGACGGUACUAUAUGAAUAAGCACCGGCUAACUCCGUGCCAGCAGCCGCGGUAAUACGGAGGGUGCAAGCGUUACUCGGAAUCACUGGGCGCAAAGAGCGUGUAGGCGGAUAGAUAAGUCAGGAGUGAAAUCCUAUGGCUCAACCAUAGAACUGCUCUUGAAACUGUCUAUCUAGAAUAUGGGAGAGGUAGAUGGAAUUUCUGGUGUAGGGGUAAAAUCCGUAGAGAUCAGAAGGAAUACCGAUUGCGAAGGCGAUCUACUGGAACAUUAUUGACGCUGAGACGCGAAAGCGUGGGGAGCAAACAGGAUUAGAUACCCUCGUAGUC
Molecule: ribosomal RNA, 439 nt
Filed under: uncultured bacterium
Lineage: Bacteria
Description: partial 16S ribosomal RNA
Rfam family: Bacterial small subunit ribosomal RNA
Source: RNAcentral